UCGAUGGAGAGUUUGAUCCUGGCUCAGGACGAACGCUGGCGGCGUGCCUAACACAUGCAAGUCGAACGAGGUCCAUCCAGUGGCAACACCGGUGAAGACCUAGUGGCGAACGGGUGAGUAACACGUGAGGAACCUGCCCCGAAGACCGGGAUAACCCUCCGAAAGGAGAGCUAAUACCGGAUGUCCCCACCUGGCCGCAUGACCGGGUGAGGAAAUGGAUUCCGCUUCGGGAGGGCCUCGCGGCCUAUCAGCUAGUUGGCGGGGUAACGGCCCACCA
This 277-nucleotide ribosomal RNA is filed under the name Acidimicrobiales bacterium. RNAcentral describes it as "partial 16S ribosomal RNA". It matches the Rfam family "Bacterial small subunit ribosomal RNA", at positions 1 to 270 of the family's 1533-position model. Lineage: Bacteria; Bacillati; Actinomycetota; Acidimicrobiia; Acidimicrobiales. The record is from RNAcentral.